GUCGGGAUAGCUGCAGAUAGAGCAGAGGACUGAAAAUCCUCGUGUCACCA
Molecule: transfer RNA, 50 nt
Filed under: Phelipanche libanotica
Lineage: Eukaryota; Viridiplantae; Streptophyta; Magnoliopsida; Lamiales; Orobanchaceae
Description: partial tRNA-Phe
Source: RNAcentral